UCCUUGGUAGUCUAGUGGUUAGGACUCAGUGUUUUCACCACUGUAGCCUGAGUUCAAUCCCUGGACUGGGAA
This 72-nucleotide transfer RNA is filed under the name Sus scrofa (pig). It matches the Rfam family "tRNA". Rfam says of the family: Transfer RNA (tRNA) molecules are approximately 80 nucleotides in length. Their secondary structure includes four short double-helical elements and three loops (D, anti-codon, and T loops). Lineage: Eukaryota; Metazoa; Chordata; Mammalia; Artiodactyla; Suidae. The record is from Rfam by way of RNAcentral.